RNAcentral lists this ribosomal RNA (421 nucleotides) under uncultured bacterium. RNAcentral's name for it is "bacterial SSU rRNA". It matches the Rfam family "Bacterial small subunit ribosomal RNA", at positions 355 to 773 of the family's 1533-position model. The record is from RNAcentral.
UGAGGAAUAUUGGGCAAUGCCCGCAAGGGUGACCCAGCAACGCCGCGUGGAGGAUGAAUGUCGUAAGAUUGUAAACUCCUGUUAGAGGGGAAGAAUAGUACCGGUUGGACCGGUAUAUGACUGUACCCUCAGAGAAAGCCCCGGCUAACUACGUGCCAGCAGCCGCGGUAAUACGUAGGGGGCAAGCGUUGUCCGGAUUUACUGGGUGUAAAGGGCGCGCAGGCUGGAUAAAAAGUCAGUGGUGAAAUCCUACAGCUUGACUGUAGAACUGCCUUUGAUACUUUUAUUCUUGAGUUCGGGAGAGAGAGACGGAAUUCCAGGUGUAGGGGUGAAAUACGUAGAUAUCUGGAAGAACACCAGUUGCGAAGGCGGUCUCUUGGUCCGACACUGACGCUGAGGCGCGAAAGCGUGGGGAGCAAAC